This 927-nucleotide long non-coding RNA is filed under the name Arachis ipaensis. RNAcentral describes it as "long non-coding RNA (AIPA_LNC001456)". Lineage: Eukaryota; Viridiplantae; Streptophyta; Magnoliopsida; Fabales; Fabaceae. The record is from RNAcentral.
AUAUACAAAUAGGAGCAGUUAAGACAUUUAGACAAUUAGCAAGUAAUAUGCAGUCAAAUAGGCAAUCUCAAACAAUUCACAUAGUAUGCAUAUGAUGAAUGCCUGUCCCUAGUGGCUGAUGAUAUCAUCUGUCGGUUAUAGAGCCAACCCGACAAGUCCUGGUAGCUAACCAUUGGACUGUCCCUCUGUCGCGCAUCCCCAACUCGAGUUAUACUCGUUAUAAACUUGAUCAUAAACAUGAUCCAUAUCCAUCACCCUCACUGGUGAAUAUUUCGGGGGCGAGCUCAUCCGGGUCUUUCACAGUGCCCGGCCACACUUACGACAUAGGGUCAACAGAGUCUCGAGCCUCCACCUGGAGCACGUGGUGGCUAGCCACUGCUUCCUCCCAGGGAUCUCGUGCCUCUGAUAGUGGAAGUGCAAAUCUCAAUUAUCAAUAAUUCAGCAUAAGCAUGCAUGAAUUCUCAUCCAUGGAUCAACAUCCAUAUCAGCCAUCCGGCUCACGGUUCAGUCCAGAACCAGCCAAUAUUCAUAUUAUACACAGCCUUUCCGGCUCACGGUUAAAUCCAUAACCAGCCGUUUCAUUAACAAUUAUAGCCUUUCGGCCCAUGGCUUAACAAGCACUUCCACCACCAUCCUCCGCAUCUCACAUAAUCAUCUUGAUCCUCAUUGAUCAUUCAUUUUUCCCUUGCUUCACUCGCAAGUUACCUCAUUCACUAGCCCCUUUUUAAUAGCUAGGCAUGUCAUAAUGAUUUAAGACAUAAAUGGUGAGAUCGGAGGCUUAGAAGUAUGAGAUUUGGCUUUUAAAACUCAAAAAUCAACUUUGGGAUGAAAACAGGGCCACGCGUACGCGCACUCCACGCGCACGCGUGGAUGGCCUCAAAAACUCAUCGACGCGCAAGCGUCAUGCACGCUAACGCGUGGAUUAAA